GCCCGGGUGGCGGAAUGGCAGACGCGCUGGCUUGAGGUGUCAGUGUCCUAUUAACGGACGUGCGGGUUCAAGUCCCGCUCCGGGCA
Molecule: transfer RNA, 86 nt
Filed under: Corynebacterium pseudodiphtheriticum
Lineage: Bacteria; Bacillati; Actinomycetota; Actinomycetes; Mycobacteriales; Corynebacteriaceae
Also listed under: 9 other names
Description: tRNA-Leu
Rfam family: tRNA
About the family: Transfer RNA (tRNA) molecules are approximately 80 nucleotides in length. Their secondary structure includes four short double-helical elements and three loops (D, anti-codon, and T loops).
Source: RNAcentral